UAGAAUCCACACUCUUGGC
RNAcentral lists this non-coding RNA (19 nucleotides) under Rattus norvegicus (Norway rat). The record is from RNAcentral. Lineage: Eukaryota; Metazoa; Chordata; Mammalia; Rodentia; Muridae.